RNAcentral lists this long non-coding RNA (6084 nucleotides) under Gossypium raimondii (Peruvian cotton). RNAcentral describes it as "long non-coding RNA (GRAI_LNC008053)". The record is from RNAcentral. Lineage: Eukaryota; Viridiplantae; Streptophyta; Magnoliopsida; Malvales; Malvaceae.
CUAAAUAAACCCAAAACCUAACUCCUAAGUCUCAUGUUACGGUUCAAAAAUAAAUAAUACAAUCUUUUAAAGAAAAUGAAGAAUAUUAAUGAAACUCUAAAAUAUUAAGAAAAACGAAACUAAGUUGAGUCCCUCCGGAUGUCGCAUUUACAUCCUAACCUGGUGGGUUAUCUAAAAGGAAGAAAAUAAAAUGAGGGUGAGCUAUGAAGUUCAAUGUGAGUCCAUUCGUAAGAAAAUCAGUGCAAACAACUUGUAGGACACAUUAAAUAAUAUCGCAUAAUAUAAUCAUAAUUAAACAACAGUUCAGAGUAUCGAUUUUUCAAUGCAACCAUCAUUAACAAAUAUCGGAACUCACAAUAGCAGAUAACAGAAUAACCAAAUUCCAUAUUUUCCCACAUUAUACAUAGAUAUCCAUGCAUAACUAUAACAUAACAGAAUUUCCAAAGUUGUAUGCACAUGAUUUUGAAGAUGCCAUACAAUUUUGGUUUAACAGAAAAGAUCCUACCCCACCACUGCACACCACAAUGGGAGUUCCCCUAAACUCCCUUCUCUGAUACACCGGGAUGUGGAUAAACCACUAUUGAUUUGCAGAUAAUAACUAUCAUUUGGAUGUGGACACACAAUAAGUUCCUGCAGUUAGAAUCUGCUUCUGGCUGUGGGCUUACAGCAAAAAGCCCUACAGAUGAAAUAUGCUUUUGACUAUAGAUUUUACAGCAUAAACCUGCUGUUGGAAUAUGCCUUUGGCUGUGGAUACACAGCAAUACUUGCAGAAGAAAUUUGCCUUCGACUGUGGGUGCACAACAAAACUUAUUAUUGUAGAUAAACUGCCAGACUUCCUCCGAUCACAUCAUCCCAUCCCAUACAAUGCAAUGCGACAUAUUUAAUACAAAUCAUAUAUGGUAGCAUUUAAUGUACAUGGAAAAUCAGUAGCAAAAUCAUACUUUUCAUGUAUUCAAAUUAACACUACUCUAGGGCAUGUCAUUCAUAUGAUUGCAAGUAUAUAGAUACAACAGUCAUAUAUACUAUUCAUAGUUUAUGCAUGUAUAUAUAUGUUAUUAAUUUAAUCAAGCAAGGCAUGUAUUCUAACAUGUUUUAUGUUAUCAGAGGCUUAAUUGCACAAAUUAAACAUUAAAACGGUUCAAUCAUCAAACAGGGACUAAUCUAAAUAAAUCAUAAAAAAUUUAGGUCAAAAUUGUAAAUUUUGUAAAGUAGGGGACAAAAUUAUAAAAUCUAAAAAAUAGGGGAAAAAUUUUAAAAUCUAAAAAAUAAGGGCAAAACCAUAAAUUUUAAAAACAAGGGACACACGGCCAUGUGAUAGGCCGUGUGAAGGGUCCUAUAUCGUGUGAGAAUUGAAAAACCUAGGGUUUCAAGGGGACAUGAUUGUGUGGGGGUUAUGUGGUCCACAUGGGUGGCCCACAUACCCGUGCAACCCUAUUUUGGGGCAUAGUUUGCCCUGAUUUGCUUGUAAAAGAACACAUACCUAUUACCGGAGUCUCGAGCGAUGUCCUUUACGUUCAAAUCUGAUCCAGAGUACCUAAAUCGAGUCCUUCAAACGACAUUUAUAUACAAGUUAACAAUCGAUUUCGAGAUUCGUCAAAAUUAAUCAAGAUUAUCAAAAGAUUUGUUAAGAAUUGUGAUAGAUUGACUAAUUGAUUUGAAAGAUUAACAUUGAAUAGAAAUUCUAUCAAAUUUGGGGUCUAGAUUUUAGAAUGGGAUGUACUUACCAAACUUGAUAGAAUUACGGAGGCUAUCAACGAUGAUUUCAAUAAUCAGUAGAGAAUUGAUUUAUCGAGGAUUGGUUUGAUAUCGAGAGUAAAAAUUUUAGCAAUAGAAUAACCAAUUUGAUGAAAAGAAAAGGGGGAGAAAAGAAAGGAAAAUUUAAAAGGAAAAGAGAGAGAAUUCAAAUGAAUUAGAAAAGAUAUCAAAACCCUAGGGUAAUUAGGAUAAGAUGAACUAAAUACUUAGGGUUUUCAAAUUUUAAGGGUUGCACGGUAAAUUACCCAAUUUUGGUCAAAAAUAAAAUGGAAAUAGGGGUUUGGCAUGACUUGAACCUAAUUUGCAAAGGAGAAAGUGUAAAGACUUCACCAUUUGAGCUACUACUCAGUCUUGUUAUGUUUUCACUCUAAAUAUUAUUUAUUCUAAUUUGAUUUUCAUCCUAGGUUGCUGAAAAUAAAAAGAGAAAAAUGGAAUAGGUAUGGUUUAAACCUUGGACCUCUAAGAAAUAUAUAAGUUAUUUAACCAUCAAGCCUAAAGUUUAUUUCUUAUUUAUUUAUUUAUUACAACUAACCUCCUAUAUUUUGAGGCAUGACAUUUAUAUAUUUUGGGGUGUGACAUUUAUCACCUAAUAAGAGUUAUUAAUUAUAAAUUCCAGUUGAUUGAAUUAUAAAUGUAACAACCCGUUGUCGAUGGUGUUGGAAACUGUAGUUUCGAGACCACAAUUCCAACAAGUGAGUAAAUAUUUUAAUAUUUAUUAAGGUCUAUGGGGUUAAAUUAGAGUCGUACUAAAAUUUCUUAACGAAAUUUUGAAGUUUAAUUGGUUAAUUAGUUAAAAAUGACUAAACUAAAAAAGAUUCAAAAGAUGGUUUCUAUUAAUUACAUGGAUUAAAUGGCUUUAGGAGUAUUUAUUAAUGGGUUUUUAUGGUAAUUAUGUCAUUCAUAAAUGUGGUGGACAAUGAUGGACAUGAUUUGGUUAUUUUAUAAGUUUAUUGGCUAAAGGUAAAAUUGUAAUUAAUUAAAUAAACCUAAAAUAAAUCACUAAAAUGAUAUAUUAAUCUUCUUCCUUUUUGCUUGUUUCAACAAAAAAUACCAUUGAAGAAGGGAUUUGAAGUUUCGACUAGACUUGUUUCAUUGCAUGGUAUGUGUUUGAGUCUCGUUUUUAAUAAUUUUUAUGUUUUUGAACUCGUUUUAGCUUAAUCUACUUAGCCCGGGAAUUAAUUUGUAAAACUGUUAAAGGUUAGAGGUUUUUCCAUGAACGAAAUUGAUGUGUUUGUGAUAAUAGGUGUAAGAUAAUUAAAUUUGGUUGUUAAAUGACUAUAAAUUGUUAAAUGGAUUUUUAUGAAUGUAAGGUUUAGGGAUUAAAUUAUUGAAUUAAAAAUUUUCAUGUAUAUUGUAUGAAAUAAUGGAAAAAUGUAGAUUAUUUAAGCUUAGGGAAGAAUCGGUUAUCAUGGGUUUAGGUUAAAAAUGGUUAAAUUUUAAGUUAUAAGUUUAAGGACUAAGUUGUGAAAAGUUAAAAUAGGUGGGGUAAUUUAAUAAUUUCAUGAUAAUAUGAAUUAUAGAUUUAAUUGAAUAAUUGAGGUUAUUUAAGGUACUUAAUUGAAUGAAAUUAUUAUUUAGAUCAAGAUACGCAACAACCGGACUUUAAUCGAGGCAAAAUUAAUGUGUUGGAUUAGUUUUUGACUUUGUUAAAACGAUCGUGGUAGCGAGGUAAGCUCUUAUGAAUUAUAAUCUGAUUAAUUAUAGCUUGAUUUGAUUAUUUGUUAUAAUAUGUUGAAUAUAAAUUAGACUCGGAUAUAUCACGAUGUUUUGAACAAUUGAUGGUUAAGUAAUCCUGUUUGAAUUUUAAGAAUUUUUAGGAUACAAAUGACAUGUCAUUAGGAUUAUACAAUUUCAGGUGCUGGUCUUGAAUGUCCUACCGAUAGCUAUGGUCCUGCAUUUCUUGCAGAUUAUCACAACUCGUGUGAGCAGCACUGUGUAGCAAACAUUCUGACCCACAACUUGUGUGAGUAGACCCAUUUUAUAACUUGUGUGAGCUCUAAUGAAAAUGAAAUAUUAUGAUUACAUGAAAAGGCACACUAUGUGUGAGUAUUCCUGGGUAUCCGAUGUAAUUCUAGAUGGUUUAACGGGUAAGAAAAGAAUGAAGGAAAAGCAUAUAUAAUAACCUAUUAAUGCUAAUGUUCAUUUGAAAAGGUAAAAUAGGUAUGAAUUUAUGAAAUGUAAUGAAAAAGAAAGGUAUGGAAUUUAUUUCCUAGUAUAUGAGAUGCUAUGUUUUCAUGAUUUCUACUAACCAUUUGAAUUAUGGUGCAUAGGAAAGUUUAAUGUUAAAUGAUGAAAUGAGCAUGGUUGUACGGAUUGUUAAUUGAUGUUCAAUAAGUUGAAGUUUAUCUUUUACGAACUUACUAAGCAUUAAAUGCUUAUGUGGUUAUUUUUCCUUUGUUUUGUAGAUCAUCGGAAGCUCAAUUGGUUGAAACUUUGUCGGAGUCCUAUCACACUAUCCUUCGAUCACUUUGGUAGUUUUGGGUUAUUUUGAUCUAUGGUUAUAAAUGGCAUGUAUAGGGUUUAAUGUCAUUUAUACUUUUAUUGUGUUUUGGUUACUUUUGUAAAUGGUUAUAUACAUAUAUGGUAUAGUUGGCUUGUACAUGUUAAAAGCUAUAUGAAUAUGGUCAUUUUUGAUAUGUUUAAUUUGAAUGGUGAAAUUGAUUGACAAUUGUUGUCAUUAGGUAGCUAUUUUACCUAUGUUUUGUGUUUGAGAUGUAGCAUUAUAGUUUUGUUCUUAAUUGAUUUUGUUAUGGUAUAAAAUGAGGUGCCUUUGAAUGGCAUAUUGGUUAUAAGAUUUAGGUUGAUUGAAUUGGUAUGUUUAUGAAUAUCUAAAGUGUGUUUAGGUCCAUUGAAUGUAUGUACAAAUGGAGUAGCUUGUUGGGCAAGGUUUGGUUUUGAAAUGACUUGUUUUAUGAGCUAAUUAUGGAGCACACGGCCUAGGACACGAGCUGUCACACGGUCGUGUGUCUUAAAAAAUUUGGGUGCAGGUUGGUCCACACGGGCACAGAGAGUUACACGGCCUGGCGACACGGCUGUGUGACCUUAAGCCAUAUAGUCACAGAGAGUUAUACGGACGUGUUGAGUAGUCACACGAGCGUGUGGAUAGCCACACGGUCAUGUUUGGAGUCACACGGUCUAAGCUAUACCACACGGCCUGGCCACACGGUCGUGUGACCCCUGUUUUCACAAAUUUUCAUUUUUUUCUCAAAAUUUUCUGAUUUAUUCAAGUUGAUCCUCGAUUACUUCAAACUUAUUAUUAGGACCCCGAAUGCUCGGUUUAAGGCCCAAAUGAGUAUUAUUUCCAUGAUUAAAUUGUGUAAUUGUUAUUUACUUUGUAAGUUGAAUUAUUAUUCUGUAUUGAAGUUAAACGUUCUGCUUUGUACGAUAAUGCUUCGUAACCCUAAUUCGGUGACGGAGACAGGUUAGGAGUGUUACAAUAAAACUGUUCUUGUAGGUGGUAUCCUUCCGAGAGACAAUGAUCUAUGUUCAAGCUAGUAAAUGUGAUUUAUAGAAUUUUAAAAUAUUAAAAUUUCUAAUAUUUUUAGCAAAUUUUUAUAUAUUUUUUAAUUUUAUGAUUUUCUUUUCUAUUUUUCAUAUUUUUAAUAAUUUUUUAAUUUUUUAAAUAUUUUUUGGUAUUUUUUUUAUUUUUUUCAUAUUUUAAAAAGAUUUUUUAAGUUCUUUUAUAUCACGACAUGUGGUGGCAUAUGAUUGAUUGAAUAUCUCAGUUGUUAGUUUUUAAUGUCCAAAGGAUUGAAUUUGAAACACCUGAUGACUUUAGGGACUGAAGUGAACCAAAAUAAACUUUAAAGACCAAAGUAAAAAAAAAAAAAGGGUAUACUUCAUGGACUAAAGGGUGCAUUAAGCCUAUAUUAAGCGGCAGGGCUGGACUUGUACUUUAGAGGUCAAAGAAACAGGUCUAAGGCUUUUGCUACACGGGGAAUUUGAAUCUUAGAGACUAAUCUAAAUAUAUAUAUACAACAUCCCUGUUUCCCAAAAUUAAAGGCAUUAAACACAGGGUGAAGCGUUCAAGAGAGCCAAUGAGAAAGAGCAUCUAACCUGUGGGAAGCUUCCAACAACAAAAGAACAUAUUGUUCUUAGUUUUUAUCUAUUGAAUUGCCACAACAAGAGCUAUCCGACAGUUUGCAGUAGUUGAGUUCAGCUUUUUCUAGUAUCAAGUUCAGUUCAUUCACAGCUUUUCAAAACCCUUCGCUAUUCACUUAGAUUUCCUUGACCCGUUUUUUUUGUAUUGGCAAUUGCCUAGAUUUGUCAUCUUUACGGAAGGCUCUUACAUCUUUUCAAACCAGAAGCAAAACCCCAAUUUGUGAAAAC